Molecule: non-coding RNA, 1501 nt
Organism: Physcomitrium patens
Lineage: Eukaryota; Viridiplantae; Streptophyta; Bryopsida; Funariales; Funariaceae
Source: RefSeq, a predicted model, not a curated record
AUGUGCGCCCACGUCAUCGAGCAAGGGUGAUGCUCCUCGACAGGGCUAGUCAUCGCGAGCUAAUUACAGAACGGGACGCUUGGGAGCUGAUCGAAACAAACCACUGUGUUGAUAUCUCUUACUUACAACAGCUGCUGUUUUUUUUUUUAGAACAGUCCGGAGUUGGAAUCUCUGCAUUGAGCCAGUAGGAUUCAUGGGGUUUUGAGGAUUUUGAGGUUUCUAGUAUUUCAGUGUGUUGUUUCUCAACUUGGACGGACGAUCGCGGAUUACUAUGGCGAUGCGGAUGAAGUAUUGAUGGGAGUAGAGGAGUGAUUGCAAUUGCUGUUAUCAUGAGGAAGCGCGACUUGGGAAUUUUGUUACUGUCCGCGUUGGCCAUUUUCUUCUCGCUCCAGAGUAUGGGUUUUUGGUGGAGAAGAGUGAUUGGGUCUGAAGCUCUCUCUUUGACGACGCAUACCGCUGCAGCGCAUUAAGGGCAUGUUGGACUAUUUUUGUGAAGAUCUUUUUUUAAUCCUUAGAUAGUAGUGAUGGUGAUAUUGAUAGAAAGAAAAUCUCACUACUAGUUUUUGCAUGAUUUAUUCUAAAAUUGAAUAUUGGAUUAGGAUUUUUUAUCUAAGGCUCUAAAUUUGAUUCAAUUGACGAUAGUUGGAUGCUUGAAAAUAAGUCUUCAUAAAUAAUAUUUUUUUUCUUUUUGAUAUUAGUAUUUUUUUCCAUCACAUAAUACAUCACUAUUAAUAAUAAUUUUUUAUUUUAUUAGAUUAAAUAGUUUAUAUGCCUUUCUUUUCUUAUUAAUGUCUACAAACAAGCAUAGUUGGAUUUUAUUAUCUAUCUUCUUUUUAUUUUUUUUUAGAAUGUAUAUUUAUACAAAGCAUCCAAAUAUUUUCAAAUAAUUAAUGUAUGGAAUUUUACUUGAAUACUUAUUUUUUUAUAGUCACUUCAUUAUUAGCUCAUGUUGGAUCUUAAUUCACCAAGUAAUUAGUAGUUACAAUUUCUUUUGGCUAUAGAAAUAGGAGUAAUUUAUAUUCAUUUGUCAAGUUCUUUUUUUAUUCAAUCAAGGUCAUAUUUAUUUUAUCAAUUUUUUUGUUCUAUUGUAAUAUAGCAAUUGAAUUAGCUCUCUUCUUAUUUUAUGAUCAUGACAAUAAUUUUUGAAUUCAACUAACAUAUAUUAUCUUCAAUAAUUUAUUCAAAAUAUUUACAUUCUAUUUCAUAUUUAGCAACAAAGUAUUCUUUAAAUUAUCAAAAAAAAAAUUAAAAGUUUUAUUCUUAUUUUUUAAAAGAAUUUAUUUUUAUUUUUUUGUAAAAAAUCAGCUAUGAAUACUAAAAUAUAUUAUGAUCCUUCCAACAAAGGAUUGAUGUAUUAGUCCUACUAAAUCUAAGUAGAUCUUUUGUCAUGCCUUAAUUGCACUAAUAUUAAAUCUACAAAAUAAUCUUUUUCAAUGUUGCCUUCUUGCUAAGCAAUUUUUACAUACUUUAUAAUAAAGAAUAAUUUUUGGGAGUCUACUAA